This 1031-nucleotide ribosomal RNA is filed under the name Candidatus Phytoplasma fraxini. Its description in RNAcentral is "bacterial SSU rRNA". It matches the Rfam family "Bacterial small subunit ribosomal RNA", at positions 248 to 1285 of the family's 1533-position model. The record is from RNAcentral. Lineage: Bacteria; Bacillati; Mycoplasmatota; Mollicutes; Acholeplasmatales; Acholeplasmataceae.
GUUGGUGGGGUAAUGGCCUACCAAGACGAUGAUGUGUAGCUGGACUGAGAGGUCGAACAGCCACAUUGGGACUGAGACACGGCCCAAACUCCUACGGGAGGCAGCAGUAGGGAAUUUUCGGCAAUGGAGGAAACUCUGACCGAGCAACGCCGCGUGAACGAUGAAGUAUUUCGGUAUGUAAAGUUCUUUUAUUGAAGAAGAAAAAAUAGUGGAAAAACUAUCUUGACGUUAUUCAAUGAAUAAGCCCCGGCUAACUAUGUGCCAGCAGCCGCGGUAAGACAUAGGGGGCGAGCGUUAUCCGGAAUUAUUGGGCGUAAAGGGUGCGUAGGCGGUUAGGAAAGUCUAUAAUUUAAUUUCAGUGCUUAACGCUGUCUUGUUAUAGAAACUACCUUGACUAGAGUUAGAUAGAGGCAAGCGGAAUUCCAUGUGUAGCGGUAAAAUGUGUAAAUAUAUGGAGGAACACCAGAAGCGUAGGCGGCUUGCUGGGUCUUGACUGACGCUGAGGCACGAAAGCGUGGGUAGCAAACAGGAUUAGAUACCCUGGUAGUCCACGCCGUAAACGAUGAGUACUAAGUGUCGGGAUAAAACUCGGUACUGAAGUUAACACAUUAAGUACUCCGCCUGAGUAGUACGUACGCAAGUAUGAAACUUAAAGGAAUUGACGGGACUCCGCACAAGCGGUGGAUCAUGUUGUUUAAUUCGAAGAUACACGAAAAAUCUUACCAGGUCUUGACAUGCUCUGCAAAGCUAUAGAAAUAUAGUGGAGGUUAUCAGGGACACAGGUGGUGCAUGGUUGUCGUCAGUUCGUGUCGUGAGAUGUUAGGUUAAGUCCUAAAACGAGCGCAACCCUUGUCGUUAGUUACCAGCACGUAAUGGUGGGCACUUUAACGAGACUGCCAAUUAAACAUUGGAGGAAGGUGAGGAUUACGUCAAAUCAUCAUGCCCCUUAUGAUCUGGGCUACAAACGUGAUACAAUGGCUGUUACAAAGAGUAGCUGAAGCGCGAGUUUUUAGCCAAUCUCAAAAAAGCAG